UUCUUCGGAUGAAGAGGAUUGUGACUGAGCGGCGGACGGGUGAGUAACGCGUGGGUAACCUGCCUCAUACAGGGGGAUAACAGUUAGAAAUGACUGCUAAUACCGCAUAAGCGCACAGUACCGCAUGGUACGGUGUGAAAAACUCCGGUGGUACAAGAUGGACCCGCGUCUGAUUAGCUGGUUGGUGAGGUAACGGCCCACCAAGGCGACGAUCAGUAGCCGACUUGAGAGAGUGAUCGGCCACAUUGGAACUGAGACACGGUCCAAACUCC
This 272-nucleotide ribosomal RNA is filed under the name uncultured Lachnospiraceae bacterium. RNAcentral's name for it is "partial 16S ribosomal RNA". It matches the Rfam family "Bacterial small subunit ribosomal RNA", at positions 73 to 339 of the family's 1533-position model. Lineage: Bacteria; Bacillati; Bacillota; Clostridia; Lachnospirales; Lachnospiraceae. The record is from RNAcentral.